AUUGAACGCUGGCGGAAUGCUUUACACAUGCAUGUCGAGCGGCAGCGCGGGGCAACCUGGCGGCGAGCGGCGAACGGGCGAGUAAUACAUCGGAACGUACCCAGUUGUGGGGGAUAGCCCGGCGAAAGCCGGAUUAAUACCGCAUACGACCUGAGGGUGAAAGGGGGGGAUCGCAAGACCUCUCGCAGUUGGAGCGGCCGAUGGCGGAUUAGCUAGUUGGUAGGGUAAAGGCCUACCAAGGCGACGAUCCGUAGCGGGUCUGAGAGGACGACCCGCCACACUGGAACUGAGACACGGUCCAGACUCCUACGGGAGGCAGCAGUGGGGAAUUUUGGACAAUGGGGGCAACCCUGAUCCAGCCAUUCCGCGUGAGUGAAGAAGGCCUUCGGGUUGUAAAGCUCUUUCGGCAGGAACGAAACGGUUUGCCCUAAUACGGUGAGCUAAUGACGGUACCUGAAGAAGAAGCACCGGCUAACUACGUGCCAGCCGCCGCCGUAA
RNAcentral lists this ribosomal RNA (498 nucleotides) under uncultured bacterium. RNAcentral describes it as "partial 16S ribosomal RNA". It matches the Rfam family "Bacterial small subunit ribosomal RNA", at positions 29 to 523 of the family's 1533-position model. The record is from RNAcentral.